RNAcentral lists this ribosomal RNA (292 nucleotides) under uncultured bacterium. RNAcentral's name for it is "partial 16S ribosomal RNA". It matches the Rfam family "Bacterial small subunit ribosomal RNA", at positions 505 to 796 of the family's 1533-position model. The record is from RNAcentral.
GUGUCAGCCGCCGCGGUAAUACGAAGGGGGCUAGCGUUGCUCGGAAUCACUGGGCGUAAAGGGCGCGUAGGCGGCCGUUUAAGUCGGGGGUGAAAGCCUGUGGCUCAACCACAGAAUUGCCUUCGAUACUGGGCGGCUUGAGUCCGGAAGAGGUUGGUGGAACUGCGAGUGUAGAGGUGAAAUUCGUAGAUAUUCGCAAGAACACCGGUGGCGAAGGCGGCCAACUGGUCCGGCACUGACGCUGAGGCGCGAAAGCGUGGGGAGCAAACAGGAUUAGAUACCCUCGUAGUCC